AUUUUUCAUCACACUUUCUGCUUUAAGCAUCAAUUAUAGUCAUUCCAAUAUGACCUGCUUGUGCAUUUAUGCAAUUUUUCUUCACAUUUUCUGCUUUAUCCGUCAAUUUUUGUCAUUCUAAUAUGACCUUGCUCUGUAGUGUGAACAUCACAGAGACCUGUGCUAAUAGCAUUAGCGUUCUGAUGAUUUUCCCGUGAUUCCUUGCAGUGUCUGCCGCCAUUUUGUUGCCUUCCGCCAUUUUGCUGCCGCUGCUCCGGAGGCCUUCGCUGUACCACACAGACUGUUCAGAAAGAGCGACUGACGACCGUUUAAGAGGAGCUAACCGCGAUCUUUCUGUCCACGACCGAGGCUGGGCUUCGUUGUCAAGUGGGUGAGAAGAAAACAAAGGUGUCGCGCCAGCCAGCCAGCCGACAAUGCUAACGGACGUCAUGGGAAAGCAGGAUUAGAGAUCAGAGGAGAGGCCUAUGCUGAUAGCAUUAGCGGUCACAUGAUCUUCCCCAAGAUGUUUUGCGGUUACGAGAAACCAUCGAGUUCCAUGUUGCUGCGAUGGCCGAGGAGAGGCACCUGUGGGUUUCCCUGCCUGGGAGACAAAUGGACCGGGUGCAG
Amphiprion ocellaris (clown anemonefish) is the source of this 606-nucleotide long non-coding RNA. NCBI's taxonomy places the organism in Eukaryota, Metazoa, Chordata, Actinopteri, Pomacentridae. The record is from Ensembl.